ACGAACGCUGGCGGCGUGCUUAACACAUGCAAGUCGAACGGAAAGGCCCUGCUUUUGUGGGGUGCUCGAGUGGCGAACGGGUGAGUAACACGUGAGUAACCUGCCCUUGACUUUGGGAUAACUUCAGGAAACUGGGGCUAAUACCGGAUAGGAGCUCCUGCUGCAUGGUGGGGGUUGGAAAGUUUCGGCGGUUGGGGAUGGACUCGCGGCUUAUCAGCUUGUUGGUGGGGUAGUGGCUUACCAAGGCUUUGACGGGUAGCCGGCCUGAGAGGGUGACCGGCCACAUUGGGACUGAGAUACGGCCCAGACUCCUACGGGAGGCAGCAGUGGGGAAUAUUGCACAAUGGGCGGAAGCCUGAUGCAGCAACGCCGCGUGCGGGAUGACGGCCUUCGGGUUGUAAACCGCUUUCGCCUGUGACGAAGCGUGAGUGACGGCAAUGGGUAAAGAAGCACCGGCUAACUACGUG
This 467-nucleotide ribosomal RNA is filed under the name uncultured bacterium. RNAcentral's name for it is "partial 16S ribosomal RNA". It matches the Rfam family "Bacterial small subunit ribosomal RNA", at positions 29 to 507 of the family's 1533-position model. The record is from RNAcentral.